AGAGUGAUGAACUGUAUAUUGAUUUAAAACGGAGCACAACAGUUACCAAAAUGUCCUGGAGCGACUGACAUGGCACACCCCCCCGGGUCGCUGGACAAGUCUACGAAAUCUAACAACAGCAGAUCUGAAGUCACUUAAACAUGCCGAUGGAGAUUUCUGACGUCUCGGCGGUGUGUGGAAAUCGCGACAGGACAGGACUCGGUGAAGACGGAACAACACACAAGAAGGCAAGAAGGGACAGAACAAAAGGAGAGUUUCCCCGACCACGCUUCUGAGCUUUAAAGAGGAGGUUAGGAGGUCAGACCACACGGGCAACACGAUGUCCAUAAAUGGCUUCCAUUCGUCCGGCCGUCACCCUGGCAGAGAGGUCUGAUUGGUUGCCCGUCACAGACUGGAGGACUGGGCGGGAUGGUAGGGUCCAUUCACCUGAGUUGGAGAAGACAGAAAUCAUCACGUGCACUAAAAUCCCCUAAGAUCAUCUGUCAGCUCAGCACAGAGGGUGCGACAUCGACAUCACUGGAAUUCCUGUCUGACUUUCUGUAAGUGUGGCUCUUUUCUUUUCCUGCUCAGCCAUGGAGAUGCUUAUCACUGCUUCCUGUAACCAUGUUGUAUUAUGUCUUCACAAAUUUAUGUGUUAACUGGUAAAUAUUUUUCCAAGAAAAGGCCGAGCCAUGCUUCAGUGGUGAAAUAGUCAGUGAGUCCGAAAUUUUGAUAAUCGUCCAUUUAAAUCAUUUAUAAAGGACAAAUGCCAAACAUUCACUGGUUACUGCUUCUCAGUGGUGAAGGUUUGUUGCUUCUCACCAUUUUGUUUGUUUGUCUGUAAAUCGUAUGUCUUUGAGUUUUGGUCUGUUGGUGAGACAGAAGAAAUUUCAACAUUUCCUCCUACUUUCUGACAUUUUAUAGACUAAAGGAAUUACCGAUUGAUCGUAAAAAUAACUGACAGUUAAAUAGCUGAUACUGAAAAGUGGCUGCGUGUUUAGACCAGCAGAUGGAAACUCUGAUUAAUGGAGGUCAAAUCCCUGAUGUGUUAUGGCAAAAAUGUUAUUUAUUAUUAUUUAUCUGAGGAUGAUGUAAGUGUAAGCUGACUGCAUCUGCAACACUGGUCACGUUGCUAUGAUAUAAUGACAGAAUCACGCAAUCUCUCAAAUAUCACUUUGGCGCAUGCCAAAAUAUUAGCUAUGUAUUCCAAAUUAUUAGUAAUAGCUGUGCAAACUUAACAACCCUCAAAAUUCCUGUGAGGGAUUUUAUGUGAGAAGCUCUACAACAUGACUUCUUGGUUCUGCGGUAAAUGAGAAGUUACUGUUUUCUAUUCCUUAUUCAUCCUUUACUCCUGUCAUUCCUGUAGCACGACCAUGAGAAACAAACCUUUUGGCUGUAUAUGAAAAAAAAAAAAAAACAUGAAAAAAUUAUUAUUGUAUUCAGGUCUUCCUGCACCCUUUAUAUUUAACGUCUUUGUCUUGAUGCUUUUACAUGUUUUGUUAAACAAGUUCUGCUUUCACCUGCAUCUGGCUUGAACUACACAAAAAGUACUAAACCGAUUGGCACUAAACCCGGUGGAGGGAUGGGGCAUGGGCCAAGGGAGAACCCAUUAAAUUUUGGUAGUGAAUCCGGCUAAUUCCUGAGGAAAUAAUGUCUGGAUCCUGAUGUAAAAACUCAGACAUAUUUAUGGUGUUAAGAUCUAUGAGUUUGUUCGAUUUGGUGUAGAACAUGAUAAAAACCUGGAUCUGGUGGAAGAAAAUGCUGAG
Toxotes jaculatrix (banded archerfish) is the source of this 1745-nucleotide long non-coding RNA. RefSeq lists it as uncharacterized. NCBI's taxonomy places the organism in Eukaryota, Metazoa, Chordata, Actinopteri, Toxotidae. The record is from RefSeq and is a predicted model, not a curated record. The transcript has 4 exons.